AUCUCUAGCUUAAGCAAUUGACGAUCCUAUCCACAGUAUUCAGGUGUACAUAAGCUCCUAUCCACACUAUCCAUGUGUGCGUAAGCUCUAGUAAAAUGAGAUCCAUCGUUCUACUUGCACAUUUAGCUUAGCUCCAUAAAAUAAAGAUGAGACGAAGCACAACCUUCCUAAAACCACAAAACAGAAAGUACCAAACAGUAAUAAAGCGAAUUGAUAGCCACAAAAAUGUUUGUUGGAAAUUUCUGCAAACAAGUAGGAAAAGCAGUAAAGGUAUUUAAAAUAGAUUAUAAAAAAACUUGUGAUAUAAAGUUAGAAAAAUAAGGAGGAUGAGGGAGAGAGAGAGAAAGCAAGAUUGAACCAUAUCUGGAACUGACGGGUGUCUCAGAGCUGAAUCCCUACUUUAAUACAACACCUGUGGAUCAACACAGUCCAAAGCAAAGGUCGAAAGUCGAGAAAUAUCAUAUCUUGCACAUAUAUAUAUAUCAUAAGGAGAAUCAAAUCUUAAUCGGCAGAACAGAGAGAAGGUUCUUCAUAUGAGACAAAUAGGUUGAACAUCCAGUGGCAGACGAAAUUUUACCGGACACUCUGUUUAGAAUUGUCAUAUAAACACAAUCAUGACGAGGGGAGAAUAUACUCGUAUUCAAAGCGCUUUCUUCUACAAGGAAUCUUUUUGAGAAAAAAUCAAAUCAGCCGAUUACCGAAACCCUGGCAAGAGAAAACACAAUCCAAACGCAAAACCCAUGAUAAUAAACCACUUGUUAAUGCAUACGAAAACCACACCUAAUACCUCGCCGGAUCAAAAUUACCAAAAUAAAACCAAUUCAGAAUCACAAUCAGACGAACGACCCCGAAUCGAUGACGAUCCAAUUGUCAAACCGGCAAAAUAACCCCAAAUAAAAUCAAAUCAGGACCACAAUCAGACGGUAUCGCGAAAGAGAAGAAAAAACACGCGAUGGAUAAACAUUGAAUUGAAUUGCGCAAGUUUCAUAGCGACGAUGAUACAUAUAAUCUAGAAAAACGGAGACGACAAAUAAACAAAAGCAAUAAUCAAACAAAACUCUAAAAUCCACAGAUAACCAACAAAGACGAGAGACGAAGAAAUGAGUUACGGUUGUAGGAGGGGACGGGUAUUUAUAGAAGAGUCGGUGUUGAGUGGAUGGCUGAGAUUAAUCGGAUCAAAGGUACCAAAUGGUUGGACAACCACCGUCAUUUUUGUUGCAAGUUUCUGCAAAUAGAAAGGAAAAACGAAAUAGGAUUUGAAAUGUAAAAAAGAAUAGAUUAUGGAGGGAUUCAUAAGAAUAUAAAAUUUGGCAUCACUAUCGUACUCACCACCACUCGUUGUUCAACACAGCCCAAAUCAUACUAUGUAGCAACCGAACUUCUCAACACAUAACACGAAAUUGCCAUACAAGCAAAUUCACGAAAAGGCGGAGAAAAGCCCAAAGCUCGAAACACUUUCCUUUUUCCAGAAAUCCUAUGACCGCGCGGAAAACAAAAUCAAACCAGCCAACAACGAGACGAGGAUGGGAAAAUAUGAACCAAAUCCAAACCACGGGAUAUUAAAUUGCAUAUCACUCCAUCACCAAACAUCAUAAAUACCUUGCCGGAUCAAUUAUCAUUCAUAGAAGACCUUGACAGCACCACAGAGAAAAGAAACAUAUAAGACACGCUCCCGAUAAUUAGACUGUAAGACCAGCAAAACCACCCAAAUCAGAACCACAAACAGAAAGGCACGAAAGAGCUUUAGAUAAAACACAAGUUAGAUUAUAUUCCCCAUUAAGUAUCCAUCACAUCUGUAGCUUUACAUAAGAGACUCUGAAGCUCAUUUUCCAACGGUUUGCAAAGGGUCCAACGAUAUAUGUAAAAUCAGAUUCAUCAUUCCUAUAGCACAUGUAGUUUCAGAUAUUAAAAUUGAACUAAGACACUUCCCUUAAGCCACAGAAGAAAGGUACUGACUGGUAGGACAGCUAAAUAAAUUAUUUUUCCGCGUAGUCAAUAGGCCAGAGUAAUGUAGAUGGAACUAGCAAAAACUUUCUUUAAACAGAAGGCCUACCAUCAUUUUUGUAGCAAAUGUCUGCAGACAGAAAGGAAAAGAAGAACAGGGGAUUUGAAGAUUGAUUUGCAAGUAAUAUGACCGUAUAAAGUAGUAAUAUGAAAAUUGAGGGAGCCGUUAGAAAAUACUCUCUCAAAGAAUCUGAGACGCAUCUCAAUAAGCCACUACCUGCUGCCGAUCAACACAUUUUGCAACCAGAAGCAAGAAAGUUUUCAUGAGAUAAAUAAAUCAGAAAUUAAAUUAUCUUCCCCGUCAUGUUGUCCGUAAAUCAGACUCAACCUCAGAUCCAACUGCACUAAUCCAUCUUUUGCUGAAGCAAUGGGUUAUCCUGUCCAAAGAUGGAACUACAGCAGACCCCCUAAAAUACACAAACAAAAGUUACCAAAUGGGAGGACAUCCACCAUCAAUUUUCGAGAGGAAAAGCAAAACCGGGAUAAGGAGAAAAUACUCAAACUUGAAGCUGUUUCUUCUACGAAAAAUCAUAUUUUAACCAUUUCCUUCGAAGUCUAUGCCAUCUCGUAAAAGAAAACCAAACCAACGGACAAGAGAAAUCAUAAUCCAAACCCACACAAUCGAAAAAUAGACAAAAUAGUGGCCGAUAAGGAAACAUCAUACCACAUGCCGUAUCAAAAUCACCCAAAUAGAUUUGAAAACAUAUGGUCAUAUUUCAAAAUUGAAUGAGAAGGAUGAUGAUUACAUAAGAAUAUACAAUCUGGAACUGACAAAAACCCCCACUGAUCGAUAAGCUAAUUAAAUCACAAAAUAAAUUAUCUUGCCAUCAUCAGAUCCAACCGAGAUCUCUAGCUUAAGCAAUUGGCGAUCCUAUCCACAGUAUUCAAUUGUACUUAAGCUCCUUAUCCAGGUAUACAUACGGUCUAGUAAAAUCAGAUCCUCGUUCUACUUGCACAGUUAGCUUAGCUCCAUAAAUAAAGAUGAAACACAACCUUCCUAAAACAACAAAACAGAAAGUACCAAAUAGUAAUAAAGUAGUAAAGCAGUAAAGGGAUUUAAAAGAUACAUUAAAAAAAUUGUGAUAUAAAGUUAGAAAAAUAAGGAGGGAGAGAGAGAGAGAGAGAGAGAGAGAGAGAGAGAGAGAGAGAGAGAGAGAGAGAGAGAGAGAGAGAGAGAGAGAGAGAGAGAGAGAGAGAGAGAGAGAGAGAGAGAGAGAUUGAAAUAUCUGGAACUGACGGGAGUUUCAGAGCUGAGUUCUUACUUUAUUACCACAACUGCGGAUCAACACAGUCGAAAGCAACAGUUGAAGGUCGAGAAAUAUCAUAUUGCACAUAUAUAUCAUAAGGAGAAUCAAAGAGAAGGUUCUUCAGAUGAGACAAAUAGGUUGAACGUCCAGUAGCAGAUCAAAAUAGCAGUCAAAAGGACGAAACUUUACCGGACACUCUGCUUAGAAUUGUCAUAUAAACACAAUUACGACAAAAAGGAGAACAUACUCGUAUUCGAAGCGCUUUCUUCAACAAAGAAUCUUGUUCAAAAAGGGUUGAGGAAAAAUCAAAUCAGACGACCUGGCAAGAUAAAACACAAUCCAAACGCAAAACCCCAUGAUAAUAAACCACUUGUUGAUGCAUAACCGAAAACCAUACCUAAUACCUCGCCCGAUCAAAAUCACCAAAAUAAAACCAAUUCAGAAUCACAAUCAGAUGGCCGACCCCGAAUCCAUGACGAUCCAGUCGUCAAACCGGCAAAAUAACCCCAAAUAAAAUCAAAUCAGGACCACAAUCAGACGGCAUCGCAAAAGUGAAGAAAAAAAACACGCGACGGACGAUGAUACAUAUAAUCUAAGAAAUAAACAAAAGAAAUAAUCCGCAGAUAACCAACAAAGACGAGAGACGAAGGAAUGAGUUACGGUUGUAGGAGGGGAUGGGUAUUUAUAGAAGAGUCGGUGUUGAGUGGACGGCUGAGAUUAAUCGGAUC
This 3979-nucleotide long non-coding RNA is filed under the name Erythranthe guttata (spotted monkey flower). RNAcentral describes it as "long non-coding RNA (EGUT_LNC003229)". The record is from RNAcentral. Lineage: Eukaryota; Viridiplantae; Streptophyta; Magnoliopsida; Lamiales; Phrymaceae.